RNAcentral lists this transfer RNA (64 nucleotides) under Megacopta cribriella. RNAcentral's name for it is "tRNA-Asp". It matches the Rfam family "tRNA". Rfam says of the family: Transfer RNA (tRNA) molecules are approximately 80 nucleotides in length. Their secondary structure includes four short double-helical elements and three loops (D, anti-codon, and T loops). Further hydrogen bonds mediate the characteristic L-shaped molecular structure. tRNAs have two regions of fundamental functional importance: the anti-codon, which is responsible for specific mRNA codon recognition, and the 3' end, to which the tRNAs corresponding amino acid is attached (by aminoacyl-tRNA synthetases). tRNAs cope with the degeneracy of the genetic code in two manners: having more than one tRNA (with a specific anti-codon) for a particular amino acid; and 'wobble' base-pairing, i.e. permitting non-standard base-pairing at the 3rd anti-codon position. The record is from RNAcentral. Lineage: Eukaryota; Metazoa; Arthropoda; Insecta; Hemiptera; Plataspidae.
GAGAAAUUAGUUUAAAUUAAAACAUUAACUUGUCAAGUUAAAAAUAUUUAUUAGAUACUUCUCC